GCAUAUGGAGGUUCCCAGGUAGUGGUCCAAUCAGAGCUACAGCUGCUGGCCUACACCAGAGUCACAGCAACACCAGAUCCAAGCCACAUCUGAGACCUACACCACAGCUCAUGGCAAUGCUGGAUCCUUAACCCACUGAGUGAGGCCAGGGAUUGAACCCGCCAUCUCAUGGUUCCUAGUCAGAUUUGUUUCCACUGCGCCACGAUGGGAACUCCUGAAGGAGUAACUUCUAAAUUGAGACCUGAAAGAUAUAUAGUCUUAUUUGGGCAAAGAAUGGGAAAAAAAUUUUUUUUUUCUGGUAGAAUGCUUUGAGGAAUACAAAAAGGAAAAUUUAAGGAACGAAAAGAGGACAAAAAUAGCUGAGGAGCAGUGGGCAAGGAGACUAGUGAGUUGGAUUGUGUGAAACACAGACAGGACCAGGUCACACAGGGCUUUGCAUGAGGAGUUUGAAUAUUAUUCUAAGUCUAAUUAGAGUCUAUAGAAGGAUUUAAGAACAAGAUGGCUUAAUUAGAUUCAUAUUUAAAGACGUAGUUUUGACUAUGAUAUAGAAAUAAAAUUAGGAAUGAAAAUUAGGAGAUCAGUUAAGUACUGCAGGGUCAGAGAUUAAGGGAGGCGUGGUGACAGUUUACAUUUGAGUAGUACAGGUGAAAAGGGAGCAAUAUUGAGGCUCUUUUGCAGGUAAGUUGUAUAGGACUUCGUUUUGUAUUUCUUGUAGAUAGGUGAAUAAGGAACACAUCAAAAAGUGUAACAUUCCAAUAGUCACAGAUUUUUUUCCUAAAGAAUUAAUAGCCUUAGUAGGAAGAUAAUAUGCACACAAAUAAGAGAGAUACAUCUAAAGAGGUUUGGGGAGCAUAGGAGUAUCCCGGUUUGUGCAGGAGGAUCUCAAGCAAGGCUUCACAGAGGUGGUGGCAUUUGAAGCAUAUGGAUACAUUUUAGGAUGUAUAAAUACAACAGAGAAUACAAUCACAACUAUACAGAUAUGUGCGUACUUCCACCUCUACAGAUUUUUAUGUAGUCCUAUAUUUGGCACAAAUAUACUGAAUGCCUACAAUAUGUCAAAAGUGUUAUACAGGAGUUCCCAUCGUGGCGCAGUGGUUAACGAAUCCGACUGGGAACCAUGAGGUUGUGGGUUCGAUCCCUGCCCUUGCUCAGUGGGUUAACGAUCCAGCGUUGCCGUGAGCUGUGGUGUAGGUUGCAGACGCGGCUCGGAUCCCGCGUUGCUGUGGCCCUGGCGUAGGCCGGUGGCUACAGCUCCGAUUGGACCCCUAGCCUGGGAAUUUCCAUAUGCCACGGGAGCGGCCCAAGAAAUAGCAAAAAGACCAAAAAAAAAAAAAAAAAGUGUUAUACAUUUUAAUGUAACAUUUAAUGCCCAAGUAGAUACUCAUUCUUACCCAUUUUACAGAAAGAGACAGUUAUAUAGUUAAUGUACUCAAUAAUGCAAACCAUAUAUAUAAUUGAGGCUGUUUUGAAUUUAGUUUUGCUGGACUUAGAAAUUUUUAAUUCAUAAUAGCAACAUCUAUCCCCUAGCACGUAAUACAUUAUUCUUCAUAAUACUUAUACUGUCUAAUGUAAUGAACAUUUUACAAUUUUCCUUUUUUUACCUCUACUAUUAAAAUAUUAAGCCCUCUGAAGGUCAAAAUUGUCCUGUUUCAUUCACCAAUGGAUCCUCAGCACUCGGAUAGAGUCUGUACUCAAAGCUACUAAGUGGGAGGAAUAAAUCUGAAAAAUGGAUGCUUAUAAACCCAUUUUCCUCCCACUCAUCAAGAUCUUUCAGCAAAUUCAAGUAUAUCAGUUUAUAAUGUUAUUGAUCUAGUUUUACCAACUCAAACCAUAUUUGACUUUAUCCUUUCUUUUUAUUACCCACCAGCCAGUUCAGAAUAAAUUUAUUGACCCAGGUGCUAGGCUCCAGUUUGACGAUGAAGAUAUACAAGACAGACUAUGCCCUCAGGGAGCAUGUGAUAUAUUGGAAGACACGACAUAAUCUUUUGAAAGGUUAAAUAAUACUAACACGGUGAUGUAAUCAAUAUCAAAAGACUGCAUUAAGACAAAAUUGAAGUGCCAAAGAGAACAAUAAGGAUAAUAUAUAUAAUGGCAGAUAAGAAGACAUUAUUGAGGAUUUAGUUGAUCUAUUUCGGCUUCAUAGAGGAAAAGAGCUUUGACCAGGUUAUUAAAAAUAGGUAAGAUUUUCUUAGGAAAAAAGAAAAUAUGAGGACAAGCCAGGUAAGAGCCGUGUAGAAGCAGAAGCAUACGAGUGAACCUAAAUAAACUGGAGGAACAAGAUAUCGAAAGGGCUGACUGGAUCAAAGAAUGAGAGAACAGGAGUUUCUGGGAUACUAUGCCCAAAUGUGAGAACUGGAAUUAACUAAUUGAGGUUUCCAAACAUAUCUUGAUAUUAGGUAAUGACUUAAGAUUUGUUUUACUUUUGAAUACUUCAUUACGGCAAGGUAGGUGAGGUCAAAUACCUCAAUGUCCCUACACUAAGGGAUAAAGGACAAGUAUUACCAUGGAAACCUACAAGCUGAAGGUCAGAAAGCUCCCCUGUUCUGACAGCAUCAUGCAGAGAAGGGUCUGGGGCCUGAAUGAUCUGCACAAAACAUAACUGGUUUGAGUCUUAGGGCAAAGGUGUUGUUCCUUUGCUAUACCACAGUGCAAGAGCAAGGAUAAUUUUGAAGCAGAGUUCCUUACCAGACAUCUUGAGGCAAAUGCCAGUUGUGCAUAAACUUGUUGAAAAUGGCAGUCUCCAGCAUCUAUGACUACAGUAAACUUUAGAUUUGAGCUCCUGGCCAAAAGGGAUGCCAUGGUCCCUGUGAAGCUGGAAUCAGGCACCUGUUCCCAAGCCAUCUGAGUCUUUAGGGAUGGUCUCCAAAGCAAUCCUACUUAUCUCUUUCACCAGCUCAUUGAUGAAUUGAUCAUCUCAGAUAUGCUCUAUUAAUUUAAAAGAAUGAUUAUCAAUUGAUUCAUUUAUUUAUUCAAAAAUGUGUCUGUUGUGCCUCAGUUUUAAAAGCAUUGUCACUACUAUAUAUCAGCACUAAUAUAGGCAUUAGAUACAUAUCUGAGAGCAAGACAGAGCCCCUGGUUGGGGAUGCUAGUGCUGUGAUGAAGGCUAUGAGAGCAGCAAGCACAGGACACUGUGGGGAGGUAGAAGAAGGACACCUACACUAGAGCAUAGUGACAUCUAAACUGAAAUAUAAAGAUGAGUCAGCAGAGGACUCUGGGAAGGAAAGGCUCUCCAGAUGGGGAAACUGGCAUGAGGAGAAACCAGAGCCUGUUCACAGGGCUGCAAGUGAUUCGGGGGGCAGGAGCAUUGGAGAUGGAGAAGCAAAUGGUCCAGAUUAGAAAAAUCUUCAGGUCAUGUUAGGGAAUUUGACCUUUGCCUAAGGGACUCUUGGAGGGCUUUAAUCAGAGGAAGAGAAUGUCCAUAUUCUGUUUUUAAAGGGUCUUCUUAACAGCACUGACAAAAAUAUAGUGUAAUCACAGAGAAGAGCCAUAUACAUAAUUGUAAGUGUUCUAAUAGCCAUACUUUAAAAUAAAGAGAUGAAAUAAUAUUAGUAACAUAUUUCAUAUAACACAAUGUAUCUAAACUCUUAUUGUUUUGGCAUGAAAUCAACACAAACACUGUCAAGGAGGUAUUUUACAUUCUUUCAUUUGUACUAGAGCUUUGGUAUCCAUUGUGCCUUUUACACUCACAGCACAUCUCCAAUCGAACUAACCACAUUUCAAGUGCUCAAUAGCCACAUGUGGUGAGAGGCCACUGUCCUGGGCAGUGAACCCCUGGAAGUGGUGGACAGAAAAGAGUUUGGGGUAGAGAACGGCUGAGGGUGGGGCUGGGACAAACCUGAAGAAAUUUUGAAACAUAAUGCUUCUUGAGGUACACUCAGGUAUGGGUGGGUCCACAUUGAGUUGAUUUGGGGCUACAGGCCCAGGUAAAAGGAAGCUCAGCUAUUGAGAAGAAUAAAGCAAUGGACAGGGACAAAAACCAACAGGAUGCUUUUGUAGUACCUACCUGACACCUGCCUCCAGAAGGCCCCAGGUGGCACUGUAUGAUCUUGAACAAGUUUCAGCUUCCCCAAAUGUUUCCACAGCAAGAAUAGGGACAAAGGAGCAGCAAUUAAUUGUGGACGUUUGCAGUCAGGCAGGCAGCAAAGAGGUAGCCUAUUACAAUGGAGUAAGAGCUAGGUCUCAGGCACAUCUUCAGGCCCUGGAAGGCAGAGUAUGGUAAGACUCCAUCAGGAAACUAUCUAGAAAGAAAAUGAAAAAGAUUUUUAAAAAUAUGUUUGAAUACUUAUUAUGUGCCAACUCGUGGAACCAAAACAUAGCCAGACAGAUCACACCAACCUAUGCAGAUGAACAUGUGAAACGACUGCAACCCUCCUCCCCAGCUAUCACAGUACAAUGAUAAGUCCCCACUGUAAUCGAGCUUAUUCACUGAUAAUCAAACCUGAAAUCCAUUGAGCUUGCUGACCUCACAUCACUAAAGUCCAAAUUCUGAUUUCAUAGGCCCUGAUGCUUUCCAGCCCUUCCUUGAUGUGAAGGGAGAAGGGAGCCACUGCCUUCCCUCUGUAUUGUUUUGAGUUAGAGGGGAAUACGUUGCACAGCAAAAGAGGAAUAGGAAUUAAUGCAACAUCUCUGAGCUGACAGGUGUGGCCCUUUCUUUCCCAGUGGGCUCACAUGCUAACAGUAUGUUUGGCAAGGACAGGGUUAAUUAAGGGUCACAACCUUCUGGAUAGAACCCCAUCUGUCCACUCACCUUCAAACCCUAUUACCCACUCUUUCUAGAUUCUUUCUUCCUUGAUGAAUGGAAAGGAUUUCCACCCCCCUCAGAAGAUGCACAGGCUCUCCCUUUGAUUUGUGCUUCUCCAUGCCCACUGGUAGUUUUGUAAAUACCUCGUAGUUCCCAUGCAAAUCCAUGGAUCCAAAUGGAUGCUGUGUGUAUAGAAACUGAAGUAGUACCCUCAGCUUCAUAACUCAGACAAAUUUAAGACCCAGUCUUUCCCCAAUACACUUUUAUUCUUUCACUCAUCUACCUUUCCAUUUUAUGGAUGAGAAAAGCAGGAUUUGGGAUUAUCAAGUAACGUGUCUGAUACAACCAUGCGGCAGAGCCAGGAUUCAAAUCUAAGUCUGCCUUGCUCCACUGUUCAUGAUUUUUCUUUUGAACAAGUCUGUCCUGGUAUUUGGAACACAUGGGACAAAUCAAGGAUCCAGUUACCCGAAGUGGGGAACACACAGUAAAAAAGUCUAAGAAAGCAGUUAAGGCUUAGGAUCAGAACUAACCUUAAAGGCCAAGGCAAAGAAAACAGGGACUGGAUUCUGAAUCUUAGGCCUAAUACCAUCCUUCUACCACCAGAUGAAGCAUAAAAGAUCAGGACGGUUACAAUUUCAGCUGGCCUCUGGGGCUGGACUGUCAGAGUUUAAAUCCUAGCUCCACCGCUUGCUAGCUAUGUGGCUUGGGACAAAUUACCCAAUCACUUUGUGCCUCAGUUUCCUCCUCUGUAAAUAUAGGUAAAAUAGCACCCUUCUCAUGGAGUUGUUUCAGGAUGAAUAUUGUUAAAAAUUUGGGGAAAAUGCCUGUGCAAUGCAAUUCUGACAUUAACUCCCUGGAGUUAUUGCAGACUUCACAGGCUAAGGGAACAGCCUUCCAAGAUUGCCUUCACUUCAGAUACCAGCCACAAACUCUGGUCCCCAAGUUGUUUAUCAUUCUGACCAACUGGCUACAAAUUCUUGAGUUUCCACUCUCCUCUCGGGUUGGAUAAU
This 5751-nucleotide long non-coding RNA is filed under the name Sus scrofa (pig). RNAcentral's name for it is "lncRNA (ENSSSCG00000055646.1)". The record is from RNAcentral. Lineage: Eukaryota; Metazoa; Chordata; Mammalia; Artiodactyla; Suidae.